GGAGGUCAGGGUAGUUAUUUCUUCCUUGCUUUGCCUCAGGCCAUGCCUCUGACUACAUUGCAUCAGAAUUGCCAGGAGGCAGAGGGGCUAUGCAGCCAGACACAGAGCAAAGUUCAUUCCACGGAAACGACAGCAAGGACUCCUCCGCAGCCACUGCUGGACUCCAGAAUGUGAUGACCACCAUGAGAACUCCACCAGCUGUGAUGCUGAGCCUACCUCUGCUGCCCUUGGACACUCACUCCCAAAUAAAGUUCAGAUUGCUCUCUCUGAUUAUCUAACUUGUUAAGUCCACAUCAUUUUCCCCACCCUAG
This 311-nucleotide long non-coding RNA is filed under the name Homo sapiens (human). RNAcentral describes it as "HSALNT0021096". Lineage: Eukaryota; Metazoa; Chordata; Mammalia; Primates; Hominidae. The record is from RNAcentral.